GAUGAGUCUGCGGACCAUUAGGUAGUUGGUGGAUUAACAGCCCACCAAGCCAACGAUGGAUAGCUGGUCUGAGAGGAUGAUCAGCCACACUGGAACUGAGACACGGUCCAGACUCCUACGGGAGGCAGCAGUAAGGAAUAUUGCUCAAUGGGAGAAAUCCUGAAGCAGCAACGCCGCGUGAAGGAAGAAGGGUCUUCGACUUGUAAACUUCUGUAGAAGAGGAAAAUACUCCGAUAUACUCGGAAUUGAUUGUACUCUUAAAGUAAGCCCCGGCUAACUACGUG
Molecule: ribosomal RNA, 284 nt
Filed under: uncultured bacterium
Lineage: Bacteria
Description: partial 16S ribosomal RNA
Rfam family: Bacterial small subunit ribosomal RNA
Source: RNAcentral